GACGAACGCUGGCGGCGUGCCUAAUACAUGCAAGUAGAACGCACAGUUUAUACCGUAGCUUGCUACACCAUAGACUGUGAGUUGCGAACGGGUGAGUAACGCGUAGGUAACCUGCCUGGUAGCGGGGGAUAACUAUUGGAAACGAUAGCUAAUACCGCAUAAUAUUAAUUAUUGCAUGAUAAUUAAUUGAAAGGUGCAAUUGCACCACUACCAGAUGGACCUGCGUUGUAUUAGCUAGUAGGUGAGGUAACGGCUCACCUAGGCGACGAUACAUAGCCGACCUGAGAGGGUGAUCGGCCACACUGGGACUGAGACACGGCCCAGACUCCUACGGGAGGCAGCAGUAGGGAAUCUUCGGCAAUGGACGAAAGUCUGACCGAGCAACGCCGCGUGAGUGAAGAAGGGUUUCGGAUCGUAAAGCUCUGUUGUAAGAGAAGAACGGGUGUGAGAGUGGAAAGUUCACACUGUGACGGUAUCUUACCAGAAAGGGACGGCUAACUUCGUG
RNAcentral lists this ribosomal RNA (505 nucleotides) under uncultured bacterium. RNAcentral's name for it is "partial 16S ribosomal RNA". It matches the Rfam family "Bacterial small subunit ribosomal RNA", at positions 28 to 507 of the family's 1533-position model. The record is from RNAcentral.